Molecule: long non-coding RNA, 985 nt
Organism: Fundulus heteroclitus (mummichog)
Lineage: Eukaryota; Metazoa; Chordata; Actinopteri; Cyprinodontiformes; Fundulidae
Exons: 3
Source: RefSeq, a predicted model, not a curated record
UCCCCCGACGCUAAUGCUGCAUUCAAUGAUCCACCGAGCGGCGGCUGAGACGGGCCCACGUUUUCGUGUAGCUUUGUGGGUUGAUUUCCAACCAAACAAUCCAAAAAAAAUUAAAAAUUACGAAGAAAAAGGGUAGAAAGAGAACAUACGCCUCAGCAGCCACCAAACUAACCCUCUGGAACUAAUACAGCAGGGCACAAGUGCAGUCAGCUUUGACGAGAAAGUAUCUUAGCAGACAGCUAAACGUUACAUUUGUAAAUAAAAUGGUCACGUAGGUGUGGAUGUAAUUUCCAGUGAUGUUCUUGGGCUGAGGAAGGAAACUGGAGUACCCUGAGAGAACCUAUGCAUGUAAACUCCACGCAGGGAGACUCCAGGCCAGGAUUCAAACCCAGGAGCGUCUUGCUGCGAGGCAACAGGGCCACCAACUGAAUCACCUUCAACCCUGGUCAGUCCAGAACAAAUGUCAGUCCAAAGAUGGCAUGCUUCCUUCCUGUGCCCUGUCCCCUGGCAACAGAAACCCUGCAUGGUUCUGAAAAGAGGACAAGAGCCUGGGAAACUCUUUUUAGAAGAGCGGAGGGGAGGCUCAAAACUCAGCAGGAGAGCAAUAUGCAAAACGGAGGAUUCCCGCUCUAUAACCGGACGCUACGUGCUGCCGCUAGACUGAUGCACAUUACCUUCCUGCUCUGUGACUAACUGUGCCGGACAAUAGCCAUCAUUCCUUUUCCACCCUGCUUGUUUGAGACAGGCAGCAAGACGGUGCAGCCGCUCCACAAAAUGAAGAAUGGUAUUAGCUUCCUUCCUUCCUUCCUCUUUUUUUAUGAUUACAUUUAUUUGUAAUUAAUAAUAAUAAAACUGAGUAUUCUGAUUGUGUAUGAAUUAAUGUGCAAAAGGGGAUGAUUUAAUGUUUAGAACAUUUCUUUGUAUUUUUUCUGAUGGUCAGAAAAUGUUUGACAGAUUAAUGAUAAUAAUAAGUGUUUGAUACAGC